UUCUUCCCAGAAGUAACCGUCCCUGUCGCAUUCGCGAGGUAGAAUUAAGUGUGCUAAAUGGUAAAGGCGCUCUGUAAAGCAGGACCUGGGGGAGUUGGAGAGAGAGUAUAAUCAAACUUCAGC
Non-coding RNA from Anaerobacillus sp., 123 nucleotides. The record is from Rfam. NCBI's taxonomy places the organism in Bacteria, Bacillati, Bacillota, Bacilli, Caryophanales, Bacillaceae.